Molecule: ribosomal RNA, 301 nt
Filed under: uncultured bacterium
Lineage: Bacteria
Description: partial 16S ribosomal RNA
Rfam family: Bacterial small subunit ribosomal RNA
Source: RNAcentral
CAGUAGCCACGGGAAUACGUAGGGUGCAAGCGUUAAUCGGAAUUACUGGGCGUAAAGCGUGCGUAGGCGGUUCGUUAAGUCUGUUGUGAAAGCCCCGGGCUCAACCUGGGAAUGGCAAUGGAUACUGGCGAGCUAGAGUGUGUCAGAGGAUGGUGGAAUUCCCGGUGUAGCGGUGAAAUGCGUAGAGAUCGGGAGGAACAUCAGUGGCGAAGGCGGCCAUCUGGGACAACACUGACGCUGAGGCACGAAAGCGUGGGGAGCAAACAGGAUUAGAUACCCGAGUAGUCCCUGUCUCUUAUAC